AACGCGAAGAACCUUACCUGGUCUUGACAUCCCCCUGAAAGCAGCGCAAUGGCUGCCGUCCUUCGGGACAGGGGAGACAGGUGGUGCAUGGUUGUCGUCAGCUCGUGUCGUGAGAUGUUGGGUUAAGUCCCGCAACGAGCGCAACCCUUAUCCUUAGUAGCCAGCAGGCAAAGCUGGGCACUCUAGGGAGACUGCCGGGGAUAACCCGGAGGAAGGCGGGGAUGACGUCAAAUCAUCAUGCCCCUUAUGGCCAGGGCUACACACGUGCUACAAUGGCGUAAACAAAGGGAAGCGAAAUGGCGACAUGGAGCAAAUCCCAAAAAUAACGUCCCAGUUCGGAUUGCAGCCUGCAACUCGGCUGCAUGAAGCCGGAAUCGCUAGUAAUCGCGGAUCAGAAUGCUGCGGUGAAUACGUUCCCGGGUCUUGUACACACCG
Molecule: ribosomal RNA, 435 nt
Filed under: uncultured bacterium
Lineage: Bacteria
Description: bacterial SSU rRNA
Rfam family: Bacterial small subunit ribosomal RNA
Source: RNAcentral